GACGAACGCUGGCGGCGUGCCUAAUACAUGCAAGUAGAACGCUGAAGGAGGAGCUUGCUCUUCUGGAUGAGUUGCGAACGGGUGAGUAACGCGUAGGUAACCUGCCUGGUAGCGGGGGAUAACUAUUGGAAACGAUAGCUAAUACCGCAUAAGAGUAGAUGUUGCAUGACAUUUGCUUAAAAGGUGCAAUUGCAUCACUACCAGAUGGACCUGCGUUGUAUUAGCUAGUUGGUGGGGUAACGGCUCACCAAGGCGACGAUACAUAGCCGACCUGAGAGGGUGAUCGGCCACACUGGGACUGAGACACGGCCCAGACUCCUACGGGAGGCAGCAGUAGGGAAUCUUCGGCAAUGGACGGAAGUCUGACCGAGCAACGCCGCGUGAGUGAAGAAGGUUUUCGGAUCGUAAAGCUCUGUUGUAAGAGAAGAACGAGUGUGAGAGUGGAAAGUUCACACUGUGACGGUGUCUUACCAGAAAGGGACGGCUAACUACGUG
This 495-nucleotide ribosomal RNA is filed under the name uncultured bacterium. RNAcentral describes it as "partial 16S ribosomal RNA". It matches the Rfam family "Bacterial small subunit ribosomal RNA", at positions 28 to 507 of the family's 1533-position model. The record is from RNAcentral.